Anthonomus grandis grandis is the source of this 1886-nucleotide long non-coding RNA. RefSeq lists it as uncharacterized. The record is from RefSeq and is a predicted model, not a curated record. NCBI's taxonomy places the organism in Eukaryota, Metazoa, Arthropoda, Insecta, Coleoptera, Curculionidae. The transcript has 3 exons.
UUCCGAAGCUAAGAAAAAUACUUCUAUAAAUAUUGGACAAUACAUUAAAAAGACUGACUGAUACUGAAAGCAGUAGCGAUUUUGAUUUCACUGCUACUCCCCCGGAUAUUGUAGAAUUUGCGAAAGCGACUGCUGGCAAUUUGUUGCCUGAAAGAUUUAUACCUUAAACAAUAUGACACUUUCAUGCAAUGGCGAAAAUUAAAAAGAGCUAAUUCGUUCUCCUAAAAUGUGAUUUUCGCCUAUUUUAGUCAGUUAGCUAAGUCUAAUGAAGCUUUAACACUAUGGAAACUGUAUUCAAUGAUUAGAACAACAAUUAACAUUAAACACAAUACAGAUAUAUCAAAAUAUGCCAGGCUACGAGCAUUUUUGAAAAAACAAUCUGAUGGUUAUCGAGGAAAAAAAUCAAAGAUAUUAACUAGAGAAGAAGUUAACCACUUUAUAAAUAAUGGUCCAGAUCAUAUUUAUCUUGCUACAAAGGUUGCUAUGAUAUUAGGAAUUAUGGGAGCUUGUCGAAAACAGGAGCUCGACUUAAUGAAAGUUCAGAAUAUUGAGAACUUGGGAUCCGCUAUAAUAAUAAAUGUUCCUAAUACAAAAACUAAAGAGCCUAGACAAUUAACAAUCACUGGAAAGUUUUAUACCUUAUUUAAAAAAUAUGUAUCUCUACGGCCACCAGAUAUUGCGACAAAUAGUAUCUUCAUUAACUUUCAAAAUGGACGCUGCACCAAGCAAGUGAUUAGAAUAAACAAACUACGAAAUAUGCCUAAACAAGUGGCACAAUUUUUGAACUUACCCAACCCUGGAUUAUACACGAGUCAUUGUUUUCGCAGGACAUCUGCAACAAUGAUUGUGGAUUCUGGGGUGAAUAUAGAAACAUUAAAAAGACACGGAGGGUGGAAAUCUACAGAAACCGCUGAAGGAUAUAUAGAUAACUCAUUACAAAACCGCCUUAAUGUUUCAAAUCAAAUAAUGUCUUAAAUUAAUGAAAAUGAGGAACCAAUACCCACAAAAACCCAAAUUUCAGCAAAAAAAACUGCAAGAACUACAAGUAGAGCUUCCAUGUGCAAGUGCUAACUCCUAACAGCAAAACAUAUUUGCCUCAUUAAGGACUAAAAACAUAUCGGAUUCUAUCUUUGCCGGCCAGACGAGGGUGGUACAGAAGCCAGGAUGUAAAACCAGUAGAGGAAGACGCUAGUAGCUUAACAAAAUAGGAACUCCAUGCUAUUAAACCAUCCUAGCUUAAGACACUGGCUUACUGUCUUUCUCACUUAGUUACUAGCCCACACGCGAAACUAGUUCUGUAUACAUGAAGCUAGUAAUACUAGCUUGCUAGUUUAAACGCGCUAGCUUGCUAUCCUAGCUUGAAAAACUAGCCUCGUGUAAUCCGGGCAUUAGAGUUUGCUUGACCCAACCGCCUAUCCUAGGAUCUAUACGUCGUGUAAAUAUAUGUUUGUAAUGAGAACGAACAAAGUGUAUAUGUUAUCAGUCCGAUCAACUUUGUUAAUAUCCAUUCUAUUUAUGUUAAUUGGCACCAUAAAAGUCGAUAACAAAUCUUUAUAACAGAAAACCAUCUUAUUAUGUAAGUGUAAAAUUACUAUACUUUUUCACUUUCACAAUAUUUGUUUAGGUCCCCCAAUUUUAGAAGAAGUCGUAUUAAAAAUAUAUAGAACAGGGAGCAAAAUAUAGUUCCUCGCUGUGCUAUAUACAAUAAUUUGAAGUAAAAAAUAAUUUUAGUAUCUCCCACUGUUCUCUUAACAACUUGAGGCAACGAGAACUAAUAAGGUCGCGCUGGUAUAGUAAUUUUGUGUGGCUGUCGUGAACCUCGUCACUAUAAAAAAAAACAAAAAUGUUCUGGUUCAAUCUUUGCAACUUCGUGUAAUGUUCUUAUA